RNAcentral lists this ribosomal RNA (1272 nucleotides) under Phomopsis sp. MA194. Its description in RNAcentral is "eukaryotic LSU rRNA". It matches the Rfam family "Eukaryotic large subunit ribosomal RNA", at positions 94 to 1398 of the family's 3401-position model. Lineage: Eukaryota; Fungi; Ascomycota; Sordariomycetes; Diaporthales; Diaporthaceae. The record is from RNAcentral.
UGAAGCGGCAACAGCUCAAAUUUGAAAUCUGGCCUCGGCCCGAGUUGUAAUUUGCAGAGGAUGCUUCUGGCGCGGUGCCUUCCGAGUUCCCUGGAACGGGACGCCACAGAGGGUGAGAGCCCCGUAUGGUCGGACACCAAGCCUGUGUGAAGCUCCUUCGACGAGUCGAGUAGUUUGGGAAUGCUGCUCUAAAUGGGAGGUAAAUCUCUUCUAAAGCUAAAUACCGGCCAGAGACCGAUAGCGCACAAGUAGAGUGAUCGAAAGAUGAAAAGCACCUUGAAAAGGGGGUUAAAUAGUACGUGAAAUUGUUGAAAGGGAAGCACUUGUGACCAGACUUGGGCCGGGCGGCUCAUCAGGGGUUCUCCCCUGUGCACUCCGCCCGGCACAGGCCAGCAUCGGUUCUCGUGGGGGGAUAAGACCGUCAGGAACGUAGCACCCUCCGGGGUGUGUUAUAGCCUGGCGGACGAUACCCCCGUGGGGACCGAGGUUCGCGCUCCGCAAGGAUGCUGGCGUAAUGGUCACCAGUGACCCGUCUUGAAACACGGACCAAGGAGUCGUCCAUUAGAGCGAGCGUUUGGGUGUAAAACCCGCACGCGUAAUGAAAGUGAACGCAGGUGAGAGCUUCGGCGCAUCAUCGACCGAUCCUGAUGUUCUCGGAAGGAUUUGAGUAAGAGUUUUAACGGACGGACCCGAAAGACAGUGAACUAUGCUUGUAUAGGGUGAAGCCAGAGGAAACUCUGGUGGAGGCUCGCAGCGGUUCUGACGUGCAAAUCGAUCGUCAAAUAUGAGCAUGGGGGCGAAAGACUAAUCGAACUGUCUAGUAGCUGGUUACCGCCGAAGUUUCCCUCAGGAUAGCAGUGUUGAUCUUCAGUUUUAUGAGGUAAAGCGAAUGAUUAGGGACUCGGGGGCGCUAUAUAGCCUUCAUCCAUUCUCAAACUUUAAAUAUGUAAGAAGCCCUUGUUACUUAGUUGAACGUGGGCAUUCGAAUGUACCAACACUAGUGGGCCAUUUUUGGUAAGCAGAACUGGCGAUGCGGGAUGAACCGAACGCGGGGUUAAGGCGCCAGAGUGUACGCUCAUCAGACACCACAAAAGGCGUUAGUACAUCUUGACAGCAGGACGGUGGCCAUGGAAGUCGGAAUCCGCUAAGGACUGUGUAACAACUCACCUGCCGAAUGUACUAGCCCUGAAAAUGGAUGGCGCUCAAGCGUACCGCCCAUACCCCGCCCCCAGGGUAGAAACGAUGCCCUGGGGAGUAGGCGGCCGUGGGGGU